CUCACUCAUUACAUAAGGCAUCUGAGCUAUUUCUUGGGGGAACGAGCUCCCCCACACGGGGCCCAUUUCCCCUCUCCUCCUCCAACCAGCAACCACCACGCACCCAGGGCGUCUGGGCACGAGGGGCGAGCCUCCUUGCUGCAGGGGGCCCCAGAACGAGGGUGAAGAGAAGGGCUGCAGCUCUUUGCAGCUUCCCUGGGGCUGUGGGCAGAGCCCCCACCCGCCCCCGCCCCAGGCACCAUGGGAGGGAAGGAGGCCCUCCCAGGGCACCAUCCUGUCCCCAGGGGGGCGGGGGGGAGAUGGACUUUCUCCCCAGGACCCAUGGGCUACCCCCCCCACCAGUGCUCUUGUGCUCCGAGCGCAAGAAUGGUCCGGCCAGGACUCUUGUUCUUGGGGGAGUGGCAAUCAGACUUCACUUUGGUCAGGACAGAGGAGUCUGGCAAAGCCUCCGAUGGGAGGUGGAUGCCAGCCCGGAAGCCCAUCGAGGCGGCAGGCGUCCUCCCAGGACUCGGUCUGGCCUCAGCUGUCGGGGGAGAAGGGCCCGGGGGACCUUGGCCAUGCUGCCUCAUUUCUGCGGCCUGGGACCAAAGGCCGUCUGAACGGACACGGGGGCCCCGGCGGGACGCAGCUGGGGGGUGGGCUGGGCUUUUUGGGGGCCAAGUGCGCUCCCUGGCCUGGAGAGGAGCAAAGCAGGUCCCCUUGUCACCUGCACGGACACUCCCGGAGGGGCAGUCGCGGGCCGGGAAGGGCUGGGCCCAGCCGCGACGCCCCCAGGCCUGGGCCGCCAAGCCCGAGAGGGGCCGCCUUCCUCUGAGCUCCGUGUUCGGGAGGAAGAGGGGAGGAAAGCGGCCCCAGCGCUGCCGCCCGCCCCGCCCGGACUCCCAGACGCUCCCGCCGGGAGCCUGGCGCGCCACACCCUGCCUGGGGACAAAGCUCCCGGGCGGGCGGGCGGCAGGGACCCCGGGGACCGCGUGCCAGCGGGUGGCACGGAGCCGGAAGCCCCGCGGCCCCUCCCGCCGGCUCCCAGCCCGGGGCCUCCGUCCUCCUGGAGACACGCGGAAUGAGACCGUGUUUUCCUUUCUUUGCAGAGACUCGCGGUCUUGGAACUUGCAGCCUCUUGGGUUUGCUAUUUUUACCCACCCUGAGCCUUCCGGUCUCCAUGGCGACGCCUCCAAACAGCAGAUUCCAGGCGGCAAUGACGUCACCUUUCCCUUUCCUGCCGCCCAGGCCUCCAGUCACCGCCGCGGGGCCAGGGCUGCGGCCGCUCUGGACACCUCCCGCCUCCCCGGGCCCCUCAGCAGCGGGGCCAGGAGCAGCCGUGCCUCUGCCCGGGCUCCCUGCCACGCGGCUGAGCUCCCUGCAGGGGCUGCUGGGUCCUGGCGGCUGGACCUCGCAUCAGAAGCAGGGGACCGCCGGGGCCACGCAGGCCGGCGCACCAGGAGGCCCUGUGGCCCGUUGUGUGACAGCGGCCCGGGACGUCUGGUCCCCUCCGUGAGGCUGCCUCACUCCAGGCCAGGGGCCGCUGCCCGGCUGAGGGUCCCGAGGCCUCAGGCCCCACACCCUGGACCUGGUCUGGCAGCAGCACUGGGGGUGGCGGCCCCUCCUCCUGGGCCAGGUUGCCUGCAGUGGGUCACCUGGCUACGUGUCACCCAGCUGUCCUGUCAACGCCCAGCCUGGGGGCCGCCCUCUGCCCAGGCCAAGGAUGGGGACCCUUGGGCCAGAGGGCCACCUUGGGCCAGGACUGGGUGGGAGGGUGGGUCCCCUUCGUGGAGAAGCACCCUCGUCCUGGGUACACGCUCUGCCGUGGACUCAGAUGUUUGCCAAGAUGGCCUCAGUGAUGCCUCGCAGGAUGACAAGUGCAGCUGGGAGAGCCUCGUCCCCUCAUCCCCUCAUCCUUUCACCCCCUCGUUCCUGCCAUGGUCAGUUUUUCCUUCCGUGUGGGAGCCUACAGAGCCAGCGCACCCAGACACCGAGCCUGCAGAGGCCACUUGCUUGGUGGGCUGCUGGGGCUGCAUCUCUAAGCAGGCCCUGCUCCUUCUGUCACCCAGUCACCCACAGGGCCCAGGACACCAACCUCCAGCCCACCCCCACCAGCCUCAACUGGACCUCAUACGCUGGGCCUGGGGCGGGGAGCAGGCGGGGCCAGGCCAGGCCGAGAGGCAGGGCCACACGGGGUCCUGGCAGCCCCUAGAAGGACAAAGAAGGCACUUAGCAGAUCCCGUAGCCAACACCUCUGCUCCCAGAGAGAUACCGAAGGGAGUUGCUUUCAAGGCCCACAUUCCUGCUCUCCUGCUGGAUUCCAGCCCACGUCUUCCCAGGGAGACACACCCCUCUUCACCUGGCCGCUGGUCCCGAUGUGCUCUCUGGCAAAACAUCUACCCGGAGCAGGGGGGCCUGUAUUGCCCACUGCGAGGAAGGGCCACCAAAGCUGGUGGGAACCCCGCACCAGCCGAGCAGGGCGCCUCACCGGGGAGAGGACCGUCCCCCGGUCACAUGGCCUGGUGUGGGACAAUCUGA
RNAcentral lists this long non-coding RNA (2517 nucleotides) under Sus scrofa (pig). Its description in RNAcentral is "lncRNA (ENSSSCG00050008169.1)". Lineage: Eukaryota; Metazoa; Chordata; Mammalia; Artiodactyla; Suidae. The record is from RNAcentral.